RNAcentral lists this non-coding RNA (605 nucleotides) under Pan troglodytes (chimpanzee). Lineage: Eukaryota; Metazoa; Chordata; Mammalia; Primates; Hominidae. The record is from RNAcentral.
AGGAAUGGGAUAUUCCGACUCCUUAAGGGCCAGGCGCACAUAAGGUGUGACCUUUUCAUUCCCGUUGUUAUGGAGGGCCACAUCUGCCAGAGCCUGGAGUCUGCGAAGGCCGGGACCCGGUUCCCCGGCCCACCGUGGGGGGGGGUGUGCAAACCCGAGAGAACUGGGUUGCAAAUUCGUGAAGAAUCAGCAUCAUGUUUGGCAGCUGAGUAUUGGAGCCAGGAGCCUGCCAUGAGGUUAUAUUCCCAGAGGAUGUCAGUCCCAAGGACCAGUAGCUGCCAUCAGUUUGGAUUCUGAAAACUAACCGGCAUCAACACUGGGUGUAGAAACAUGCUUGCCUUAUGUAUCAGAGGACAUGCUCAGCAGAUCCAAGAGAUAUAUUUGGCAACUUUUUCUAGAAAAGGCACAUUGGGUAUCAUUCAUUACAUUCUUGAGUUUUUUUGGUUUUUUUUUUUUUUUUUUUUUGAGACAGUCUUGCUGUAUUGCCCAGGCUGGAGUGUGGUGGCACAAUCACAGCUCAUUGCAUCCUCAAUCACCCAGGCCUAAGCAAUCCUCCCACCUUGUAGCUGGGACUAUAGCUCACAGCACACCUGGCUAAAAUUUUU